RNAcentral lists this ribosomal RNA (261 nucleotides) under uncultured archaeon. RNAcentral describes it as "partial 16S ribosomal RNA". It matches the Rfam family "Archaeal small subunit ribosomal RNA", at positions 748 to 1009 of the family's 1478-position model. The record is from RNAcentral.
UAGCCGUAAACGAUACUCGCUAGGUGUCGGCCACGGUGCGACCGUUGUCGGUGCCGUAGGGAAGCCGUGAAGCGAGCCACCUGGGAAGUACGGCCGCAAGGCUGAAACUUAAAGGAACUGGCGGGGGAGCACAACAACGGGUGGAGCUUGCGGUUUAAUUGGAUUCAACGCCGGAAAUCUUACCGGGACCGACAGCAACAUGAAGGCCAGGCUGAAGACUUUGCCGGAUUAGCUGAGAGGUGGUGCAUGGCGUAGACGUCU